Molecule: small RNA, 78 nt
Filed under: Morganella morganii
Lineage: Bacteria; Pseudomonadati; Pseudomonadota; Gammaproteobacteria; Enterobacterales; Morganellaceae
Description: isrK
Rfam family: isrK Hfq binding RNA
Source: RNAcentral
GCACCGGCAAAAUCCGGUGUCAGAAUUGGCGUUCUGAAUAUACAAACGGCGACACAUGACGCGCCCUGCGUCUUUUUU